AAGGAUCAUUGAAUCGAUCGAAUCCACACCGGUAACCAGUGCGUCUCCCCCGCGGGGCCCUUUGUGGGGCCCUCGGGCGUCAUCUCCUGCUUCACUGCGGGGGGUGGCGGACGGGAGCGUUCAUUCGCCCCCGUCGGCAUCUCUUUAAUACACCCCAACCUCAAACCACCUUCUAAAGCCACUGAGGAUGCCUUUUUCACGAAAGCGCAUCUUCAAACCAAAGACAACUCUCAACAACGGAUAUCUUGGCUCCC
Molecule: unclassified non-coding RNA, 254 nt
Filed under: uncultured fungus
Lineage: Eukaryota; Fungi
Description: partial contains 18S rRNA, ITS1, 5.8S rRNA, ITS2 and 28S rRNA
Source: RNAcentral